UGAAGGCCUGUCCUGCUGAAUCCCCUCUGCUUGUGAUUCAGGCUGACAACCUCCAGAUUUUGUUUCUUGCUGCAAACACACACGUGAGACAAGCUGGGCUGAUCUCCCAAUGCCGGGAAUAGGCAGCGAUUUCAUUCAGGGGGUGUAGGAACAGUGGCAGGAGGUUUUUAUUUUCAUUCUUUGUGCGAUUAUGAUCAGGUCCUCGGCAGCGCUAGUUCGGGAUCACCCGGCAAGCUUGGUGAGAGAAGCCUUUUGCCCCUCCAUCAUUUCCUUUCAUUCCUCAGGCCAGCGCAAAGGCGGUAAAGCAGCGGACACCCGUAUUCGGCUGCGUGAGCAAAGCAACGCACUUGGUGUUCCAGGCCAGAUACCACAAGUGGGUAAACCCCAAGUUAGAAGCAGGUUCAGAAGAGAUGCAUGAGAAGACUGAAAGGAACACCUAAAGGCACUUGUGUGCUGGCCUGAGCUGGGGAUAUUGCACAAAACCAUAAGCAUUUCGAUCUGCUCCGGCAUGACGUUUCAAGGAAGUGGGAAAGGAGAUGCAUGCUGAUGUCUCUGUGCCAUUAUUGACAACAUUUUGCCAUUUUUAACUUGUAGGGAUUCUGCAGGAACAAAGACUUUCCUCCUUCUGUCAUAAUUGACUGGAGGUUCUCCUGAUCCUUUUUUCCCCUCCCAUUUUUCCAGGUGAUUAAGCUGCUCAGUCAGAAAGCAUGACUACAAUGCCAAGAAGCCAGCAAUUUUACCACCACAAAAGGAUAAUUGUGUAAUACUUCAGACCGUAUUAGUUUCAGCACGGACUGACCCUCAGCCGGGGAUGACAGAGCGCCAACAUCUCCCAGCACAAUGACUGACAGAACUGGGACACAGCAAAUUGCACUUUCGAAGCCUGCAGCAGCAGCAGAGCUAGGGGAUACGCUUUGCAUUAGAAGCAGUCAUGUACUAUAUUCUUAGAACAAGAGAUAAAGUAGGACAGCACAUGACUACCUCCCUUCUAAACCAUUCCACUUGAAACAAUUUCUAUCCUCCUCUAAUUCUCCUUUGCUAGUCCAUAAGAGACAGUUGUCUGUAUUACAAGUGUAGUGUUACUUAUAUUCUUACACUACACUACAGAUUUGUAUUAAACUGAAGAGAUUUUGCUACCUGCAAAUGUCACAUUAAUUGAAAGAACAGCUUAGGGUGCGACAUCUAUCACUGGGUGAGUGAAAAGACUGCUUUUCCUCCCCUCAGCUCAGCGCUGCAGUUGAGCCUCAGCACAUUAGGGCUGUAUCAGAGGUCUCAGUGUGGCACCUGUAAAGACUAAGGCACAAUUGAGGCACUGAAGCACACAAGAUUUUGACACCCACACCCCACA
Tyto alba (common barn owl) is the source of this 1348-nucleotide long non-coding RNA. RefSeq lists it as uncharacterized. The record is from RefSeq and is a predicted model, not a curated record. Lineage: Eukaryota; Metazoa; Chordata; Aves; Strigiformes; Tytonidae. The transcript has 2 exons.